GAUGAACGCUGGCGGCGUGCCUAAUACAUGCCAGUCGAGCGAACAGACGAGGAGCUUGCUCCUCUGACGUUAGCGGCGGACGGGUGAGUAACACGUGGAUAACCUACAUAUAAGACUGGGAUAACUUCGGGAAACCGGAGCUAAUACCGGAUAAUAUAUUGAACCGCAUGGUUCAAUAGUGAAAGACGGUUUUGCUGUCACUUAUAGAUGGAUCCGCGCCGCAUUAGCUAGUUGGUAAGGUAACGGCUUACCAAGGCAACGAUGCGUAGCCGACCUGAGAGGGUGAUCGGCCACACUGGAACUGAGACACGGUCCAGACUCCUACGGGAGGCAGCAGUAGGGAAUCUUCCGCAAUGGGCGAAAGCCUGACGGAGCAACGCCGCGUGAGUGAUGAAGGUCUUCGGAUCGUAAAACUCUGUUAUUAGGGAAGAACAAAUGUGUAAGUAACUAUGCACGUCUUGACGGUACCUAAUCAGAAAGCCACGGCUAACUACGUG
RNAcentral lists this ribosomal RNA (497 nucleotides) under uncultured bacterium. Its description in RNAcentral is "partial 16S ribosomal RNA". It matches the Rfam family "Bacterial small subunit ribosomal RNA", at positions 28 to 507 of the family's 1533-position model. The record is from RNAcentral.